Molecule: ribosomal RNA, 253 nt
Filed under: uncultured bacterium
Lineage: Bacteria
Description: partial 16S ribosomal RNA
Rfam family: Bacterial small subunit ribosomal RNA
Source: RNAcentral
UACGAAGGGGGCUAGCGUUAAUCGGAAUUACUGGGCGUAAAGCGUGCGCAGGCGGUUGUGCAAGACAGAUGUGAAAUCCCCGGGCUUAACCUGGGAACUGCAUUUGUGACUGCACGGCUAGAGUGCGGCAGAGGGGGAUGGAAUUCCGCGUGUAGCAGUGAAAUGCGUAGAUAUGCGGAGGAACACCGAUGGCGAAGGCAAUCCCCUGGGCCUGCACUGACGCUCAUGCACGAAAGCGUGGGGAGCAAACAGG